GACGAACGCUGGCGGCGUGCCUAAUACAUGCAAGUUGAGCGCUGAAGGUUGGUACUUGUACCAACUGGAUGAGCAGCGAACGGGUGAGUAACGCGUGGGGAAUCUGCUUUUGAGCGGGGGACAACAUUUGGAAACGAAUGCUAAUACCGCAUAAAAACUUUAAACACAAGUUUUAAGUUUGAAAGAUGCAAUUGCAUCAUUCAAAGAUGAUCCCGCGUUGUAUUAGCUAGUUGGUGAGGUAAAGGCUCACCAAGGCGAUGAUACAUAGCCGACCUGAGAGGGUGGUCGGCCACAUUGGGACGGAGACACGCCCCAAACUCCUACGGGAGGCAGCAGUAGGGAUACUUCGGCAAGGAGCGAAAGUCUGACCGAGCAACGCCGCGUGAGUGAAGAAGGUUUUCGGAUCGUAAAACUCUGUUGGUAGAGAAGAACGUUGGUGAGAGUGGAAAGCUCAUCAAGUGACGGUAACUACCCAGAAAGGGACGGCUAACUACGUG
This 497-nucleotide ribosomal RNA is filed under the name uncultured bacterium. RNAcentral describes it as "partial 16S ribosomal RNA". It matches the Rfam family "Bacterial small subunit ribosomal RNA", at positions 28 to 507 of the family's 1533-position model. The record is from RNAcentral.